Molecule: ribosomal RNA, 510 nt
Filed under: uncultured bacterium
Lineage: Bacteria
Description: partial 16S ribosomal RNA
Rfam family: Bacterial small subunit ribosomal RNA
Source: RNAcentral
GACGAACGCUGGCGGCGUGCUUAACACAUGCAAGUCGAACGAAGAGCGAUGGAAGCUUGCUUCUAUCAAUCUUAGUGGCGAACGGGUGAGUAAUGCGUAAUCAACCUGCCCUUCAGAGGGGGACAACAGUUGGAAACGACUGCUAAUACCGCAUACGAUCUAAUCUCGGCAUCGAGGAUAGAUGAACGGUGGCCGCUACAUGUAAGCUAUCACUGCAGGAGGGGAGUGCGGCUGAUUAGCUAGUUGGAGGGGUAACGGCCCACCAAGGCGAUGAUCAGUAGCCGGUCUGAGUGGAUGAACGGCCACAUUGGGACGGAGACACGGCCCAGACUCCUACGGGAGGCAGCAGGGGGGAAUCUUCCGCAAUGGACGAAAGUCUUACGGAGCAACGCCGCGUGAGGAAUGACGGCCUUCGGGUUGUAAAGCUCUGUUAAUCGGGACGAAAGGCCUUCUUGCGAAUAGGGAGAAGGAUUGACGGUACCGGAAUAGAAAGCCACGGCUAACUACGUG